RNAcentral lists this long non-coding RNA (562 nucleotides) under Homo sapiens (human). Its description in RNAcentral is "HSALNT0324461". Lineage: Eukaryota; Metazoa; Chordata; Mammalia; Primates; Hominidae. The record is from RNAcentral.
GGGAAGUUAGGGGAGGUUUCCCUGAUCUGCAGGAAUCAGCGUGGACGGCAGAGCCUCCCUGACAGGAGAGGGAAUAGUUAUGGAAGGACCUGAGAUGAGUGGAGGCGAGUGUGGAGAGGCUAUGCAGGCCCAGACUCUGGGACCCCGUAGGCCAUGGGAAGAACUUCGAUCUUCAGUCCAGGAGCCCUGGGAACGGAAUAUUCUGAAAGAAUCCACCAAAUGUGCCUUAGAACAGGUUGACUUAGGUGAUGUAGUCGAUAUAAAGAAACCAGUGCAGCCCCUCAGCUCUUCAGGCAUGCCGUGCUGUCCCAUCCCCAGGAAAGUGAUGCAGUGAAGCAGUAAUGAACUAUGUCAGAAUUUUCUCCAGCUACAUCCAUCUUUCUAACUGGCAACAGGGUUUUUGCAUUUGUCUUUCUUCUGUCUGAAAUUCUAUGUCCCAGAUUAUUCCAAGCAUUCUGAUCUCAGCUUAAGUGUGACAUCGGGGCCAAUGUGCCUGAGUUGACUCAGUCAAUCUCUAUCAUAUCCCCUUGGCUUAUUUUCUUCGUGACCCUUUUCACUACAG